This 2406-nucleotide long non-coding RNA is filed under the name Anneissia japonica. RNAcentral describes it as "uncharacterized LOC117109071". The record is from RNAcentral. Lineage: Eukaryota; Metazoa; Echinodermata; Crinoidea; Comatulida; Comatulidae.
GCAGGUAUACGAAAGGGACAAAUGCUGCACUGCCAACUCGAUACCUAUAACUGUGAUUACAAUUUUCGUCGAAGAGGGAUCUGUUCGUCAGUCAAGAAAAUAAUCAACUGAAAUACAUAAAAUGCCUUACUAUAAAAGAGAAACUCACAAUAGCCGUUAUUGCAGAUGGAAAAAAAGACCAAACAACAUACUUGAGCUUGAGUGUUCUUGUAAUCGCCAAAAUAGCCAUUAUGUCGAAUAUCAUUGUCAACGUUCGUGCUUUUGGAGAUAUGAAAUCAACAAUGGAAAUCGUGCAAUUCUGCGUCGAUUUUGCUACUGCGGUCAGUACACGACUUAUGUAGGCCAAAAUAUAGCGGCCAAUUAGUAGUCAAAGAUUUUCAAUCUAAAUCGUGAAGAACAGGAACAAGGAAACAAUUAAGCCAUCUACACUACCUGCGCUUCAUACACGUUAGUGUACCAUACCAAACACAAAACUCAGGAAACAGACCUAAUGACAGACAUUUAAAUAACCAAUAAUGCCUGUUUUGAAAGUGUAAAAUAUUAAAUACAUCAUGCGGAUGCGGAUUUGCCUUCUGUGAAUAAUUUUCUGUGUAUUAGAUAGACCAAUACAUUUUCUCUGGGAAUCAGUCAUGCAAAAAUGUAUUCUUUUAUAAAAAAAAAUGAGCCACCCUUACAAAAUAUUGUUGGAAUAAAAUGAAUAAGAUUAUACAAUAAUAGUUAUACUGUACAAAAUUACAAAAUUGUAUCCAGCAAAUUUAUUAUAUUUUAUGGCAUUUUUUUGAGUAGUUAAUCAAGUGAUACAAAGCUGUCUUACAUCAUUCUGUUUUCUUAAUACCUGAAACAAUUGUAAGACAGUGAGACUGUUUCAGAUAUUCAGAUAAUACCUAAUAAUAAUGAUCAUUUCCUUAAAAUAGUACUUAGAAAUAUAAAUGAAUCAAAUUCUCAAUUAUGUUUUUAUCUAUAUGUCAAAACACGCGUAGAAUAAUUAUAACAGUACCAUGUAAUUUUAAUUAUUCAAUAAAAUUUUAGAAAAGAAAAACAAGUUAUUUGGGAACAUGUUUAUAUGUGAAAUGUUUUUUAUUCUAGUUUAUUACAAUGUUUAUUGAGAAUAUGAGUAACUAACGUACAAAAUCGUUUUCAGAAUUCAGUUGAUAUAAAUAAUACAUAGUUGUGUUUUGUACUUGCACAAUACCAAUAAAUUGGAAAUAUUUAUUUAUACAAAAUUCUCAUAAUAUAAAUGUAUUUUACUAAUUAGUGAAUUAUAAUUACACAUACAAAAUUCUUAUAAUUAGAAUCCCUAAACCAGUUAAAUAAAUCAUAAUCACGAUAGGAAUUGUGAAUAUAUAAUUUUAGUUAGAAUUGAUUUAACUGAUAUUUUUUUUUUUCAUAAAUCAUCGACAUGAUGAAAUUAAUCGCCAGGUAGUCUAACGUGUACGCAGUUAAGCAUCUCUAAUUUAAAAUAACGGCUUGUGCAGCCUUUGUUGAACAUGACAUCAAAUGGUAUAUGUGCUGGGAAAUAAAUAAAUAACAUAUUGUAUUUUGCUUUACUUGCAUUAUUCCUAUUUUAGUAAGACUUUAUAGUGCUUUCAAAGUUUAACAUACAGUUUUUGAACCAUAAUUUUGUUCAACUAAACUUACCAUUGCGUAUCGAAUCUUCUUUUACAUUUUGUCGUAAGUUUAUGGUAUUUUGAUUUCCUGUUCAAAUACUGAUAUUAUUACACUGGAUUGUAUUUACUUUUCAAAUUUUAAAAAUAACUUUAUUACAUUGUACCUUAAAUAAUUAGUCUUGAACAAAAAUAUUUUAUAAAUAGUAAUUUUAAUUACUGCUAAAAUGGACGAUUUAACAUUGUGUGCCAAUUUUUUUUCAUCCAAGACGCAUGCGCACAGUCCUAGAAAAGUUCCACUUUCGUGUCUAGCACCGAUUGGUUACGUUCAAUAUUAUACAUUUUACUACAUAAACUAAACAAAUACAAGAAGAAUCUCAUUCACGAUGGGUGCGUUUUUUAGCUGGUUAUUUGGUACACCUACGAAGGCUGUAACAUAUGUAAAGCAGUCCACACCCCCGGAGGAGAUCCACGACAAAAAAUCAUGUGACUGGAAGAAAAUUGAAAAACGUGAUCGCUUUAUAUGGGAAAGAGUCUGUAAUUGUACAAAAUACGGCCCAUAUGAUGAAAAUCAUCAAAAGAAUGAAUGUGUAUGGAUAAAGUUGGUUUCCAAAAACGGGUGCAUCUUUCGUCGCUUCUGCAAGUGCUAUCUCCACGAAAGUUAUGGUUCAAACACAGAUACUAAUACUUAGUGGAAACUAGUACUUAAAACUGCUUACAGUAUCUGCAUUUUCAAUAUACAUGGUGAAGAGAAACAUCAAGAAACCAACGACCGAAUAUUUUGACAGCCUGUGCUUUUCCA